UCCGAGCCUGGACCAGUCCUGUCUCUACCGUCAUCUCUGUGUGACUUAACUUCAGUGUCCACAACAUUGUUAGAUGCCUGGACGAUAGGAGUAGGAACAGCGCCAGAUUCAAGCAUCACAACAGUCUUCUCAACUACCGGAUCCAGUACUCGGUUUUCAUCAACAUUGCCAAAUCUCUGGGACCUCUCGUCAUUUUUUAUCGUAGAAUUUUUUGUCCCAGUGCCUUUCUGAGUCUCCUUGGGAGAUGGCUUCUGGACGGUAGUAGAAGCUCUUGACGUUUUG
Molecule: unclassified non-coding RNA, 282 nt
Filed under: Hevea brasiliensis (rubber tree)
Lineage: Eukaryota; Viridiplantae; Streptophyta; Magnoliopsida; Malpighiales; Euphorbiaceae
Source: RNAcentral